This 445-nucleotide ribosomal RNA is filed under the name uncultured Bacteroidaceae bacterium. Its description in RNAcentral is "bacterial SSU rRNA". It matches the Rfam family "Bacterial small subunit ribosomal RNA", at positions 354 to 796 of the family's 1533-position model. Lineage: Bacteria; Pseudomonadati; Bacteroidota; Bacteroidia; Bacteroidales; Bacteroidaceae. The record is from RNAcentral.
GUGAGGAAUAUUGGUCAAUGGACGAGAGUCUGAACCAGCCAAGUAGCGUGAAGGAUGAAGGUUCUAUGGAUUGUAAACUUCUUUUAUACGGGAAUAAACGAAUCCACGCGUGGAUUUUUGCAUGUACCGUAUGAAUAAGGAUCGGCUAACUCCGUGCCAGCAGCCGCGGUAAUACGGAGGAUCCGAGCGUUAUCCGGAUUUAUUGGGUUUAAAGGGAGCGUAGAUGGGUUGUUAAGUCAGUUGUGAAAGUUUGCGGCUCAACCGUAAAAUUGCAAUUGAUACUGGCAGUCUUGAGUACAGUUGAGGUAGGCGGAAUUCGUGGUGUAGCGGUGAAAUGCUUAGAUAUCACGAAGAACUCCGAUUGCGAAGGCAGCUUACUAACCUGUAACUGACAUUGAUGCUCGAAAGUGUGGGUAUCAAACAGGAUUAGAAACCCUAGUAGUCC